AUUGAACGCUGGCGGCAGGCCUAACACAUGCAAGUCGAACGGUAGCACAGAGAGCUUGCUCUCGGGUGACGAGUGGCGGACGGGUGAGUAACGUCUGGGAAACUGCCCGCUGGCGGGGGAUAACUACUGGAAACGGUAGCUAAUACCGCAUAACGUCGCCAGACCAAAGAGGGGGACCUUCGGGCCUCACACCAUCGGAUGUGCCCGGAUGGGAUUAGCUCGUAGGUGGGGUAAUGGCUCACCUUGGCGACGAUCCCUAUCUGGUCUGAGAGGAUAACCAGCCACACUGGAACUGAGACACGGUCCAGACUCCUACGGGAGGCAGCAGUGGGGAAUAUUGCACAAUGGGCGCAAGCCUGAUGCAGCCAUGCCGCGUGUAUGAAGAAGGCCUUCGGGUUGUAAAGUACUUUCAGCGGGGAGGAAGGCGGUGAAGUUAAUAGCUUCACCGAUUGACGUUACCCGCAGAAGAAGCACCGGCUAACUCCGUGCCAGCCGCCGCAGUAA
This 504-nucleotide ribosomal RNA is filed under the name uncultured bacterium. RNAcentral's name for it is "partial 16S ribosomal RNA". It matches the Rfam family "Bacterial small subunit ribosomal RNA", at positions 30 to 523 of the family's 1533-position model. The record is from RNAcentral.